CUGGGUUUCGGACCUCGCGUCCACUCACCCGCCCUUUGUCAUAUACAUCCACAUCAUUUCGGCCCCUGGCUCUCGGGCGCCCCCUCUAUUAGCUUAGCGGGGUACCGUCUGUUGGUCGCGGGUCGGCAUUGCAAACCCAAGCGGAUUUCUGAAGUCUGAUACAAUUUUUUAAACGAAAUUA
RNAcentral lists this unclassified non-coding RNA (181 nucleotides) under uncultured Ascomycota. RNAcentral's name for it is "sequence contains ITS1". Lineage: Eukaryota; Fungi; Ascomycota. The record is from RNAcentral.